Molecule: long non-coding RNA, 800 nt
Filed under: Drosophila guanche
Lineage: Eukaryota; Metazoa; Arthropoda; Insecta; Diptera; Drosophilidae
Source: RNAcentral
AGGAGAAUGGAGCGGAGGAGGAAGGACCACUGGCCUCACUACUAGGAAGAGUUAUGGGGGGCCUAUUUUUCUUCUUAGCCUUAAACUCUUUCACAACCAGGUGCUCUGGCCAAAAUUUGGAAGAGAAAAUGGUCUCGAAAUGAGUUGGAGACACGCUAAUCUUGAAAGAGGAUAUCUCCCUGGCAUAAGAGAAAUUAAACUUCUCCACCUUUAAGCCAACGGCUUUUAUUUUGCUUUGUAUAAAAGCAGUUACAUCAUUAGAUGUGAGGUCAGGGGCAAGCCGAGAGACAAAAACUUGCCGCUUUGGUGGGACUCAAACCAGAGGUUUUGGCACCACAGGUCUGGUACCUGUGACGGCAAUAUCCGGUGGUCCGGGACGUUUAUUAACUGGUGGGAUCGACAUAAAUGGGAUGGGCUUUGGAACGGACUCGACAGACACGGACGCUACAGUACUAACUGGCUGCAUGUUCUCCGAGAUGAUCGAUUCGGUAGCCGAAACUUGAUCACCAGCAGUUGUCGUUGCCCUUGGAGUAGCGAACGAAAUUAGCUGCUGCACUAUCGGAGUGGACGGAGAUAGUUGAUCAGCAGCGAGCGGUCGAGGGACAGGCACUUGCAGAUCACGAGGAGUGACUUUUUUGCGCCUAGGAGACUCAUUCAGCACUUUAAAACUGCCGAAUUGAGAUUCCAUGGCUAGAAGCCGAUCUUACUGCUUUUUAAAGCCCACGGUCAGCUCCAUAAAGCCUCUUCGCGUCUGCCUCAUAAACGUGACCAUGUCAUUCUCGAUAGACCGACAUGCCUCG